CCCUUAGAUGUUCUGGGCCGCACGCGUGCUACACUGAGUAAUUCAAUGGGUAAGGGAACGCUAGAGCAUUACCUAAUCUUGAAAUUUGCUCGUGAUGGGGAUCGACGGUUGCAAUUUUCCGUCGUGAACGAGGAAUACCUUGUAGGCGCAUGUCAUCAUCAUGCGCCGAAUACGUCCCUGCCCUUUGUACACACCGCCCGUCGCUCCUACCGAUUGAGUGAUCCGGUGAGGCUCUGGGACCUGGACGGAAAGAGCGUUUCGCUUGUUCUGUUUGGGAAACUUGGUCGAACCCUAUCAUUUAGAGGAAGGAGAAGUCGUAACA
This 322-nucleotide ribosomal RNA is filed under the name uncultured eukaryote. RNAcentral's name for it is "partial 18S ribosomal RNA". It matches the Rfam family "Eukaryotic small subunit ribosomal RNA", at positions 1470 to 1796 of the family's 1831-position model. The record is from RNAcentral.